GUGAGGAAUAUUGCACAAUGGGCGGAAGCCUGAUGCAGCAACGCCGCGUGAGGGACGAAGGCCUUCGGGUCGUAAACCUCUUUUCUGAGGGACGAGUAAGGACGGUACCUCAGGAAUAAGUCUCGGCUAACUACGUGCCAGCAGCCGCGGUAAAACGUAGGAGGCGAGCGUUAUCCGGAUUUACUGGGCGUAAAGCGUACGCAGGUGGCUUCGUGAGUCGGACAUGAAAGCUCCUGGCUUAACUGGGAGAGGUUGUUCGAUACUGCGGGGCUUGAGGUUGGGAGAGGGACGUGGAAUUCCCGGUGUAGUGGUGGAAUGCGUAGAUAUCGGGAGGAACACCAGUGGCGCAAGCGGCGUCCUGGCCCACACCUGACGCUGAGGUACGAAAGCGUGGGUAGCAAACAGGAUUAGAUACCCCAGUAGUCC
Molecule: ribosomal RNA, 426 nt
Filed under: uncultured bacterium
Lineage: Bacteria
Description: bacterial SSU rRNA
Rfam family: Bacterial small subunit ribosomal RNA
Source: RNAcentral